This is a long non-coding RNA of Nomascus leucogenys (northern white-cheeked gibbon), 3809 nucleotides long. RefSeq lists it as uncharacterized. The record is from RefSeq and is a predicted model, not a curated record. NCBI's taxonomy places the organism in Eukaryota, Metazoa, Chordata, Mammalia, Primates, Hylobatidae. The transcript has 4 exons.
AUAGAACCCACUGGGGAGGGACAGAGACCCAGAGACCCAGAGGGAGACACUGACACAGCGAGUGAUAGAGAGAGAGAGACAAAGACACAGAGGCAGAGACAGAAAGAGGAGGGGAGAGGGAUGGAGAGAGACAAAGUCACAGAGAUAGAUGGAGGGGGAAGAAGGGAGGAGGGAGAGAGAGAGAGAACAGAGACGGUUGACAGACAGAUUAGGAGAGGUGCUUCUGGUGCUGCUGGUUGUGCUAGGAAAAGGCAUGUUUCUCUUUGGACAGAUGUGCUGCCACUGCUGGAAGUAGGCUGACUGUGUCUCUCCCUGCUCUGAGCCUGGCACCAGAUUUGGCAAAACCAGACAGAGCAAAAGCUGCUUCCAGCCCACAGCACCCAAGGCUGGUCUCCUCUUUCAUCGCAGGGCUGCUAUGCACAGUUGCACAGGCUGUGCCCUGCACCAAGCACCCAGAAGAGGAUACAAGAGCCUGCCUGUGCUCCUUGAAGUAUCCCUGAGCCCUGAUGAACACCUGUGUCUACCUGGAGAGAGGGGAGCCUCUGCUCACAUGAGCAAAGGCAACAGGGAGACUGCAGAGGCCCGUUCCCUCCCACAGUCUCUAUUUUGCAAUAAGGACAUCAACUGCGAGUGGCCCAGAAGCCCAAAGCUGAGAGGACAAAGCUCCCUGGGCCCACUCAACAUGCAGAUGAUAAGGAUGAAGACCUUUAUGAUGAUCCACUCCCACUUACUGAAUAGAUGAAGUUUCUUGGUGAUGUAACAGUCUGUGGAAACUCCCACAGGACAAAUGCAGAAAGGAAGGACCUAGAUCACUGGAUGGUCAACGUUGCCCCUUGCACUAGCAGCAAAGGCCUAUACAAAUUUUUUGAGUAGCUUUAUCUAGUUGUCCAGCUACUGGGAAUAACUUGUAAAAUCCCCUGGAUAGUCAACAGCAUUGGGGCUUGCUUUGUAAACAGAGACCUGACCUACUUAAGUCUUCCCAGAGGUUGGAAAAAGAGGUUUGACUCACACAGACAUGAAACCUUGGCUUAAUUGGACACUAAUUACUCAUAAGAGAUCUGUUUACCCAAACUUCCCAUAGACCAAGCUCAGUACAAAAUGAGAGGAUGCAUGAAGAAGCAAGAUAUUUAGAGGAAAAUGUCACAAAUACAUUUAUCAGUCCCAAAAGUCCUUUUUUUUUUUCCCAGAAGUGAUGUUGCUAAUUGCACAAAAAUAAACAAUACGGGGUUGAUAAAUUCCACAUUUAAGGGCUGAGAAUAGUGUCCCUACAUUUCUAAGAAGCUGUAUAUUUGGAAAUGAAUACAAUUGAAAGUAAGGAUAAUUGGCAUUCUAAAGCCAAUUGGAUAACUUGGAUGAACAAACAGAAUUUACCAUAUUUUGAUAUGUUUCUUUGUGAUUAAAGUAUCUGUAAAGGAAACAAAUUAUUGUAUUGCUACAGAUUUUAUUACUGAACAAGAAAAAAAGGACUGAUGUCGUGCAUUUCCUUUUGGCCUUUGGUCUUGGCUGAUGUUGGGCAUCCAAUGAGCUUCUUUGUCUUGAAUGAAGACUUAAGAGGGAGUGAAAAGUAGGAAGAGCAUCAAAACUUCUUUGCAGGAUGUAAUCAAACCACCUACUACUUAUUGUCUUAUGACCCAUUUAUUCAACAAAUGGAAUAUCUCAAUUGCUCAAUGCUAUUACAGACACUAGGUAUAGUCUUAGACAAAACAAGUUGCUGUUUUUAUAUAGCUUGUAUUAUGGUUGAUGUAGUAAAGUCAAAAUUAUUUAAAUAAAGGAAGAUGUGAGGAAGACUUUAAACUUAGAAAUCUGGGUUCUCAUCCAAGCUUUGCUGCUAGCUUGUUGGGGGAACCUUGGGUGAUGAGUUGGUUGACUCCUUCUGGAUCUCAAUGUUCAUCCAUCAAAUGAGGGAACUUGACCAGAUAUUCAAUAAUGGCCCUUCCAGCCCCAUCUUUAUAUGAAAGGGAAACCACAGUAUGGGCCCAUGGGGAAGAUCAUGGACUUUGGAGUAAAACAUUUCUGGCUUGGUCAAUUGUUUAAUCUCUUGAUCUCGAUCAACUCAUGUAACUACUCUGACCCUCAGUUUCCUUGCUGCAAAAUGAGAUACUAAUAUUUGCUCAAAUAAGAUAACAGGCAAAACAAUCAUGAGGGCUCCUGGCACACCACUGUGCAUGGCUUUUGCCCCCUUGGGGAGCUUAUAAAUGAAAAAAAGAUUUUACAAUGCAAAGACAGUAAGCAUUUUGUUAGUGAAGCAACAAAAUAAUUGGGCAAUUUCCUCUCAAUUGCACCAUCAACUGAUGCCCAACCUAGAAAGCAUUUGGCUAAGAAUGGAAAAGGAAUCUUUGCCCAGAUCCCUCAAUUUUGACCAUCAUGGCAUAUACAUGAAUUGGCAGACUAAAUUUAUGCUCCUUUUGAAAACUGUGUCCAUUCCAAGAAGUCAGGAUAUUUUCACCCAGCCUGGCCUAGGCAGUGGGACUCCCCAAGGCUACAAGCAGAGCCACAGUGCUCUGGGCUGGGCUGCCACACUGUCAUGCUGGGGCAAAGAUGGCAGCAGACAGCUCUGUUGGGUAACAGCAGGAAGCUGAUCUCAUCUCUUAGGGGACUAUGGUAGCAACACAGGGCAAAAGCUAUAGGAAUUGUCCAACAUAAUAACUAUGUUUUUUUUUUUUAAUUUUCAAAACGUGAUAAAUGAUUAAGAAUAUAAAACUGGAAUUUAGAACUUACAAAGAACUUGUAUGAAUAAAUUAAAAAGACAACCUAAUUUAAAAAUGGGCAGAAGUCUUGGGCAGGCACAUUACAAUAUAGCAGGGGUCACCAAAUUAAAGCCUCACCGGCAAAAUCCACCUCCCACCCCAGCCUGUUUUUAUAAGUAAGCUGUGUUGGAACACAGCCAAUCCCAUUCAUUCACACAUUGCCCGUGGUUGCUUUUGCUUGACAACAGCAUAGUUGAGUAGUGGGGACAAGACCAUAUGACCUCCAAAGCCAGAGAUAUUAACUAUCAGGCCCUUUAUAGAGUGAUUCACAGAGACCCCCAUAAUAGAGGAAAAUACAAGUGGCCAAUAGCACAUAAGAAGACGCCCAGUAUUAUAGCUAAGAGGAAAAUGCAAAUUACACCCACAGUAAGAUACCAUUAUGCACCCAUUAGAAAGGCUAAAAUUAAAAGGACUGACAACAACAAGUGUUGACAAUGGUGGGCAACAGCGAGAGCUCUCACACACUGAUGGUUGAAGUGUAAAUUGGUUCAAUUUUGGAAAACAGUUUGGCAGUGUCUACUACAGUUAGACAUACAUAUUUCCAUGCCCCAGAAACUCCUGGGCAUAUUCUCAAAAGAAACUAGGGCUGUGGCCACCAAGAGACAUGUGUGAGAAAGGUCCUAGCACCUUUAUAUAUCAUAGUCCCAAACAGAAAACAACACAUACCCAUCCACUUUAGGAUGAACUAAAUAAAUUGGGGCAUAUGCAUUCGAUGGAAUAGUACAUAGCAAUGAAAAAAAUAAACUGUUGCCCCAUGCAAAGAUGUUUCACAGACAUAACGUUAAGCAGAAGGAAGCAAAUCUCAAGGAGCCCACACUGUACAAUUCCAAUCUAUAUGAAGCUCAAUAACACAUGGUACUAGAAGUUGUAAUAGCAGUUACCUGUGGGACCGGAGGUUUGUACUGAAAGAGGAGGAACAUCAGGAAGUCUGUUGGGGCCUGGAAAUGUGAGAUGUUGCUCUGGGAGGCAGUUGCAUGGCUGCAGACAUACGUAAGACAUUAUUGAAUGGUAUACCUGAGAUUGGAGCACCUACAAAAGAAGGUACAGUGUUACAUCUAAGUG